GCAGGCUGCAACUCGCCUGCAUGAAGCUGGAAUUGCUAGUAAUCGCGGAUCAGCAAGCCGCGGUGAAUACGUUCCCGGGCCUUGUACAUACCGCCCGUCACACCAUGAGAGUCGGGAACACCCGAAGUCCGUAGUCUAACCGCAAGGGGGGCGCGGCCGAAGGUGGGUCCGGUAAUUGGGGUGAAGUCGUAACAAGGUACC
This 201-nucleotide ribosomal RNA is filed under the name uncultured bacterium. RNAcentral's name for it is "partial 16S ribosomal RNA". It matches the Rfam family "Bacterial small subunit ribosomal RNA", at positions 1300 to 1500 of the family's 1533-position model. The record is from RNAcentral.